Molecule: vault RNA, 99 nt
Filed under: Xenopus laevis (African clawed frog)
Lineage: Eukaryota; Metazoa; Chordata; Amphibia; Anura; Pipidae
Rfam family: Vault RNA
About the family: This family of RNAs are found as part of the enigmatic vault ribonucleoprotein complex. The complex consists of a major vault protein (MVP), two minor vault proteins (VPARP and TEP1), and several small untranslated RNA molecules.
Source: Rfam by way of RNAcentral
AUACUGGCAAUGAGCUUAGCAGUUCUUUCUCGAGAUCUCCGAUUUAUCAAAUUAACCUUGUUGGGUGUUUAAGAUCUGCGGGCACUACCCAGCCUUUUU